AAGGCUUUAAGUUAAGUAAACUAAUAUCCUUCAAAGCUAUUAAUAAAGAUUGAUGUCUUUAAGCCUUA
Molecule: transfer RNA, 68 nt
Filed under: Pycnoscelus indicus
Lineage: Eukaryota; Metazoa; Arthropoda; Insecta; Blattodea; Blaberidae
Description: tRNA-Trp
Source: RNAcentral